RNAcentral lists this ribosomal RNA (1305 nucleotides) under metagenome. RNAcentral describes it as "bacterial LSU rRNA". It matches the Rfam family "Bacterial large subunit ribosomal RNA", at positions 1537 to 2823 of the family's 2925-position model. The record is from RNAcentral.
AAAAUCCGUGUCCCACAUAUCCUGAGAGGUGAUGCGUAGCCGUAGCGGCGAAAUCCAUGAUCCUAUGCUGCCGAGAAAAGCCUCUAGCGAGCUGGUACAUGGCCCGUACCCCAAACCGACACAGGUGGUCAGGUAGAGAAUACUAAGGCGAUCGAGAGAACUUUGGUUAAGGAACUCGGCAAAAUGCCCCCGUAACUUCGGGAGAAGGGGGACCAGUCCUGGUGACGACAUUUACUGUCUGAGCUGGGGUUGGUCGCAGAGACCAGAGAGAAGCGACUGUUUACUAAAAACACAGGUCCGUGCGAAGUCGUAAGACGAUGUAUACGGACUGACGCCUGCCCGGUGCUGGAAGGUUAAGAGGACCGGUCAGCCACUUCGGUGGCGAAGCUGAGAAUUUAAGCCCCAGUAAACGGCGGUGGUAACUGUAACCAUCCUAAGGUAGCGAAAUUCCUUGUCGGGUAAGUUCCGACCUGCACGAAUGGCGUAACGACUUCUCUGCUGUCUCAACCACAGACUCGGCGAAAUUGCAGUACGAGUAAAGAUGCUCGUUACGCGCGGCAGGACGAAAAGACCCCGGGACCUUCACUAUAGCUUGGUAUUGGUGUUCGGUUCGGUUUGUGUAGGAUAGGUGGGAGACUGUGAAACUCGCACGCCAGUGUGGGUGGAGUCAUUGUUGAAAUACCACUCUGACCGUAUUGGACAUCUAACCUCGGACCAUGAUCUGGUUCAGGGACAGUGCCUGGUGGGUAGUUUAACUGGGGCGGUUGCCUCCUAAAAAGUAACGGAGGCGCCCAAAGGUUCCCUCAGCCUGGUUGGCAAUCAGGUGUUGAGUGUAAGUGCACAAGGGAGCUUGACUGUGAGACGUACAUGUCGAGCAGGGACGAAAGUCGGGACUAGUGAUCCGGCACCGGCAAGUGGAAGCGGUGUCGCUCAACGGAUAAAAGGUACCCCGGGGAUAACAGGCUGAUCUUCCCCAAGAGUCCAUAUCGACGGGAUGGUUUUGCACCUCGAUGUCGGCUCGUCGCAUCCUGGGGCUGGAGUAGGUCCCAAGGGUUGGGCUGUUCGCCCAUUAAAGCGGCACGCGAGCUGGGUUUAGAACGUCGUGAGACAGUUCGGUCUCUAUCCGCCGCGCGCGUAAGAAACUUGAGGAAACCUGCCCCUAGUACGAGAGGACCGGGACGGACGAACCUCUGGUGUGCCAGUUGUUCCACCAGGAGCACCGCUGGUUAGCUACGUUCGGAAGGGAUAACCGCUGAAAGCAUCUAAGCGGGAAGCCUGUUCCAAGAUGAGGUUUCUCACCACCUU